RNAcentral lists this ribosomal RNA (753 nucleotides) under Microcella sp. N6. Its description in RNAcentral is "bacterial SSU rRNA". It matches the Rfam family "Bacterial small subunit ribosomal RNA", at positions 67 to 830 of the family's 1533-position model. The record is from RNAcentral. Lineage: Bacteria; Bacillati; Actinomycetota; Actinomycetes; Micrococcales; Microbacteriaceae.
CGAUGGAAUCCGGAGCUUGCUCUGGCGGAUUAGUGGCGAACGGGUGAGUAACACGUGAGUAACCUGCCCUUGACUCUGGGAUAAGCGUUGGAAACGACGUCUAAUACCGGAUACGAGCUGGGAUCGCAUGAUCACUAGCUGGAAAGAACUUCGGUCAAGGAUGGACUCGCGGCCUAUCAGGUAGUUGGUGAGGUAAAGGCUCACCAAGCCGACGACGGGUAGCCGGCCUGAGAGGGUGACCGGCCACACUGGGACUGAGACACGGCCCAGACUCCUACGGGAGGCAGCAGUGGGGAAUAUUGCACAAUGGGCGAAAGCCUGAUGCAGCAACGCCGCGUGAGGGACGACGGCCUUCGGGUUGUAAACCUCUUUUAGCAGGGAAGAAGCGAAAGUGACGGUACCUGCAGAAAAAGCACCGGCUAACUACGUGCCAGCAGCCGCGGUAAUACGUAGGGUGCAAGCGUUGUCCGGAAUUAUUGGGCGUAAAGAGCUCGUAGGCGGUUUGUCGCGUCUGCUGUGAAAACCCGAGGCUCAACCUCGGGCCUGCAGUGGGUACGGGCAGACUAGAGUGCGGUAGGGGAGAUUGGAAUUCCUGGUGUAGCGGUGGAAUGCGCAGAUAUCACGAGGAACACCAAUGGCGAAAGCAGAUCUCUGGGCCGUAACUGACGCUGAGGAGCGAAAGCGUGGGGAGCGAACAGGAUUAGAUACCCUGGUAGUCCACGCCGUAAACGUUGGGAACUAGAUGUGGGGACC